UUCUCCAACCAGUCCACAGCUCCGACGAGCUUCACAUGGAGGCAUUGAGCUGCUCAACUUUGCCUCUACCCUUGCUUGAUUUUGGCAUCGAGCUUUUCCCAGGCCCGAUUCUGCAUAUUCUCUCUCUUACUCCUGAGAUCUCUUGCUCGACCUCUGAUGGCCAAGUUACUAGCAGGUGCUCUUCGAUUCCGUUUUGACUGCAAGAGCCAUACUCCUCCUCUACAACCUGGAGAAUAGGUGUGUCCCUCACUGUUGCUAGGUUUUGUGUGCUGCCGGAGAUGAAGCCCUCAUUGGAAAAGCUUAGCUUUGGUGGUUACGGCACUCCACCGUAGUGAUACCAAGGAGAAAUUGGAAGUCGUCCCAUGGGCUCAAAUAGAUGAGCUUGCCCAAGCCUCGAAGGGCACAAACAAUCAACUAGAACUAUUGGAGAAGAUGAACUUGAAAGUUGCCAAAGAGUACGAAGAAUUUGGAGAUGUCACUUCAGGAUUAAGGGUAUUUGUGGAGCAACUGAAAUCAAAAUAAGGUAACUUUGAUGAGUAUUUAUAGCGAAUUGAUGUAAUCGAGCAGUAAGUAGCGAAAUUUUGUCUUCUUUUUCUUUUUUUUUUUAUCAUGUCAAGUAGUAUUAAGUUAAAGACAAUUUUGUUAAUUCCAUCGGUCUUCUCUUUGGUGCUGGAAAACAUGUCUCCAGCCGCUUAUACUCUACCUUCUUCUAAUGAAGAAGAAAAAAUUGGAUGUUCGGGUUUGCAUACUAUUUGCUUCGUUUUAACAAAAUGCAUAUAUGUCCUUAUUAGA
Molecule: non-coding RNA, 792 nt
Organism: Punica granatum (pomegranate)
Lineage: Eukaryota; Viridiplantae; Streptophyta; Magnoliopsida; Myrtales; Lythraceae
Source: RefSeq, a predicted model, not a curated record